Molecule: long non-coding RNA, 1735 nt
Filed under: Ricinus communis (castor bean)
Lineage: Eukaryota; Viridiplantae; Streptophyta; Magnoliopsida; Malpighiales; Euphorbiaceae
Description: long non-coding RNA (RCOM_LNC002096)
Source: RNAcentral
GAAUUACUUCUUCAACAUUAUCUUUCUAAAAGCUUACAUUGCACAUGGUAUCAGAGCUCUAGGAGAUACGAUCCUAGGGUUUCUUUUGAUCUAAAUCUUUAAUCAAGACAGUUUCUAGUCUUAUUUGUUUUCUUUUAUAGUACAAUUUUCUACUAUGGUGGUUAUUGAUGAUUCAUCAAUUAGUGGAGAGAACAACACUGCUACUCGAGUUCGCGAUGGAGUGAAUGCAAAUUUGCAUCAACUGCGGAAUGCAAAUACACCUAAUGCUGCUUUGGUUAGUAAUCUACUUACUGAAAAUAACUACUUGUGCUGGAGUAGAUCCUUUAAGCUUGCUCUUGGUGCUAAAGAUAAGCUAGGGUUUAUAAAUGGAGAUGUUUCUAAACCUAAUUCGAAUGGUGCACAGUGUAAAAAUUGGAAGAAAUGUGAUUGUAUGGUUGCAUCUUGGAUUUUGAAUUCAAUAGCUAAGGAUUUAGCAUAUGGUUUCAUGUAUAUAGCGACUGCAAAAGAACUAUGGGAGGAAAUAGCUAAGAGAUUUGGGGAAGAGUAACAGACCUUUAGAGUAUCAUAUUCAAAGAGAGAUUUGUUAUACUAUACAAAAUAAUUUUUUGAUUGCAAUAUAUUAUACCAAAUUGAAGAAGUUAUAGGAUGAUUUGAAUUCAGUUAUGCCUAUGCCACAAUGUUCCUGUAAUUUGUGCACUUGUGAUAUGGAAAAGAAGCUUUUGGCUUUAUCUAGCAGAAUUUGAAUUAUGCAAUUUCUAAUGGGUCUAAUGACAGUUUCGAGCAUGUAAGGAAUCAAAUUUUGCUUAUGGAUCUAUUACCUAGUAUUGACAAAGUGUAUUCAAUGUUACUAAGGGUUGAAAAACAAAGAUCUGUUACUAAUUUAAUGUCUGAUUUAGGUGAGAAUUCUGCUAUGAUGGUUAAAUCACAAUACUAUAGGAAAUAUUUUGGAGAGAAUAAAGGCAUUGUACUUAUUGCAAGAGAGAUGAGCAUACCAAGAAAAGUUGUUUUAAACUGGUUGGAUAUCCAGAUUGGUGGCCGAAAGGAUCUCAGGAAGCUAGUGACCAAAAGAAAGAUGCAAAAACAUAUAAUGACUAGAAUAAGGGGAAAUUACAAUAAAAAUAUGCAGCUCAAGCAACAACACAAGAAUCAUUCACAAUCCUUUUGAUGAAGAUCCUAAUAAUAUAGCUAAAAUCAUGCAGAUCUCAGUACUAUAAUCACCAGNNNUAAUUCCAUACCUGAACACUAAUAAUAAAUAUUGUAUCUUAUGUUGCACACAUAGGAUUUGUCCAAUUACAUUCCAAAUUGAUUUUACAAAAGGUGCUACAUGUGCCUAGUUUUAAGCAUAAUCUAUUAUCUAUCAGCAAAUUGACAACUUAUGAACACAUCAAAUUUACUUUUCGUUCUAAUGAUUGCAUUUUUCAGGACCAAUAGGGCAAUGAAGUUGUUUAUAUUGGAGAGGCAGCUAAUAGUCUAUAUAGACUAAAUGCUAGUAGCUUUGUUUUUAACCAUUAACUUCUUUGGAAAACAUCUUUUAUAAGUGUUGGCAAAAGAAAUUAGUUUUCCACUUGUCCGCUGAGCUGGUGUAUUAGAUUGCUGACUCAUAACAUUUGUCCCCUCCUUCACAGAGCGUUUGACCUCAAACGCAAAUUCAAGAUAUUGGAGUUCCAUUAUGGCAGAUGACUCCCAUGAAGCAUCCGUUGGAGAUAACCCAUCCCAAUGAAUCAGAAUUUGGAUG